This 107-nucleotide small nuclear RNA is filed under the name Bison bison bison. The record is from RNAcentral. Lineage: Eukaryota; Metazoa; Chordata; Mammalia; Artiodactyla; Bovidae.
GUGCUCGCUUUGGCAGCACAUAUACUAAAAUUGAAACGAUACAGAGAAGAUUAGCAUGGGCCCUGUACAAGGAUGACAUGCAAAUUCAUGAAGCGUUCCAUAUUUUU